AAUAGCUCAUGUAACCUCUGUGUGUUCAUACCUUGAAUUUCCAUGGACUUCCACCUCGUCUGAAUGUCUGUUUCCAUUUCCUGUUUGUGCUAUGACCUGUGUUCCCAUCCAGCACUGGUGUCCCAACACCUUAAGUGUCAUAGAGCUGAAUUCAGGCGCCUGCUCUGAAAUGAAGCUGGAGGGUGAUGCUGCUGAAGGCUCAGGUGACCACACACCGGAGUUUCAACAGGGCCUCAUUGAUGCCACAAACAUCCUUAAAUGGAAGCUCUUGAAGACAAAAUUACUGUUGAGCAGGUGCCAAAUAGGAUGCAGAUUCCCUGAACUGGGACAAAGAGGUUUGUCCUGUAUAACAGCUCCUGUAAUCUCUGAGUGUUCGUACCUUGAAUUUCCAUGGGCUGCCACCUUGUCUGGACGUCCGUCUCCAUCUCUUGUUUGUACUGUGAACUGUGUUCCUACCCAGCGCUGGUGUCCCAACAUUUUAAAUGUCAUAAAGCUGAAUUUGAAUGCUUUCUUUGGAAUGAAACAACCUCCCAAGAUAGAAGGUGAUGUUCCGGAAGACUCAGUUGACCACGCAUGUGGGAUUAACCAUGGCUUCAUUGAUGCCCCAAAUGUCCUGAAGCAGAAGGUUAUCAAAAGAAUACUAUUGCUCAGCAAGCGCAGAAUAGAGUGCAGAUUCCCUGGAUCAACAUACAGAGGUGUGUUCUGUCCAACAAGUGAUGUAAUCCCUAUCUAUCCUUACCUUGGAUUUCUGAGGCCUGCUACCCUGUCUGGUCCUCCAUCUACAUCUCCUGUUUGCAUUCUGAAUGCUGCUCCUCCCCAGUGCUGUCGUCCUCAUACUUUAAGUGUUACAGGUAAGCCCAACCCAUGUUAUUUCCAUGUUAUGGAGAGCAUUAUUUGAGGUCCUUAGUACAUACAGUUUCCCAUAAUCCCAUACUUUCUUGGGUUUUCAUCUGUCUUCCCAGUUCCACUACCUCUUUCUUCUGGGUCCAUGGCCUUUCA
Molecule: long non-coding RNA, 999 nt
Filed under: Castor canadensis (American beaver)
Lineage: Eukaryota; Metazoa; Chordata; Mammalia; Rodentia; Castoridae
Description: lncRNA (ENSCCNG00000022738.1)
Source: RNAcentral